Molecule: ribosomal RNA, 483 nt
Filed under: uncultured Flavobacteriales bacterium
Lineage: Bacteria; Pseudomonadati; Bacteroidota; Flavobacteriia; Flavobacteriales
Description: bacterial SSU rRNA
Rfam family: Bacterial small subunit ribosomal RNA
Source: RNAcentral
GAUGAACGCUAGCGGCAGGCUUAACACAUGCAAGUCGAACGGUAACAUAUCUCGCUUGCGAGAUGAUGACGAGUGGCGCACGGGUGCGUAACGCGUAUGCAACCUACCUAUAACUAGGGAAUACCCCAGAGAAAUUUGGAUUAAUACUCUAUAAUACAUAAAAUUCGCAUGUUUUUUAUGUUAAAGAUUACGGUUAUAGAUGGGCAUGCGUGACAUUAGUUUGUUGGUAAGGUAACGGCUUACCAAGACUACGAUGUCUAGGGGUUCUGAGAGGAUUAUCCCCCACACUGGUACUGAGACACGGACCAGACUCCUACGGGAGGCAGCAGUGAGGAAUAUUGGUCAAUGGACGAAAGUCUGAACCAGCCAUGCCGCGUGAAGGAUGACGGCCCUACGGGUUGUAAACUUCUUUUAUGUAGGAAGAAACCCCCAGUCGUGCACUGGGGCUGACGGUACUGCACGAAUAAGCACCGGCUAACUCCG